Molecule: ribosomal RNA, 253 nt
Filed under: uncultured bacterium
Lineage: Bacteria
Description: partial 16S ribosomal RNA
Rfam family: Bacterial small subunit ribosomal RNA
Source: RNAcentral
UACGUAGGGGGCACGCGUUGUCCGGAUUUAUUGGGCGUAAAGAGCGUGUAGGCGGCCAGGUAGGUCUGCUGUGAAAACUCGAGGCUUAACCUCGAGAUGUCGGCGGAAACCAUCUGGCUAGAGUCCGGAAGAGGAGAAUGGAAUUCCCGGUGUAGCGGUGAAAUGCGCAGAUAUCGGGAAGAACACCCGUGGCGAAGGCGGUUCUCUGGGACGGUACUGACGCUGAGACGCGAAAGCGUGGGGAGCGAACAGG